Molecule: ribosomal RNA, 976 nt
Filed under: Salmonella enterica
Lineage: Bacteria; Pseudomonadati; Pseudomonadota; Gammaproteobacteria; Enterobacterales; Enterobacteriaceae
Description: bacterial SSU rRNA
Rfam family: Bacterial small subunit ribosomal RNA
Source: RNAcentral
UGAAGAGUUUGAUCAUGGCUCAGAUUGAACGCUGGCGGCAGGCCUAACACAUGCAAGUCGAACGGUAACAGGAAGCAGCUUGCUGCUUUGCUGACGAGUGGCGGACGGGUGAGUAAUGUCUGGGAAACUGCCUGAUGGAGGGGGAUAACUACUGGAAACGGUGGCUAAUACCGCAUAACGUCGCAAGACCAAAGAGGGGGACCUUCGGGCCUCUUGCCAUCAGAUGUGCCCAGAUGGGAUUAGCUUGUUGGUGAGGUAACGGCUCACCAAGGCGACGAUCCCUAGCUGGUCUGAGAGGAUGACCAGCCACACUGGAACUGAGACACGGUCCAGACUCCUACGGGAGGCAGCAGUGGGGAAUAUUGCACAAUGGGCGCAAGCCUGAUGCAGCCAUGCCGCGUGUAUGAAGAAGGCCUUCGGGUUGUAAAGUACUUUCAGCGGGGAGGAAGGUGUUGCGGUUAAUAACCGCAGCAAUUGACGUUACCCGCAGAAGAAGCACCGGCUAACUCCGUGCCAGCAGCCGCGGUAAUACGGAGGGUGCAAGCGUUAAUCGGAAUUACUGGGCGUAAAGCGCACGCAGGCGGUCUGUCAAGUCGGAUGUGAAAUCCCCGGGCUCAACCUGGGAACUGCAUUCGAAACUGGCAGGCUUGAGUCUUGUAGAGGGGGGUAGAAUUCCAGGUGUAGCGGUGAAAUGCGUAGAGAUCUGGAGGAAUACCGGUGGCGAAGGCGGCCCCCUGGACAAAGACUGACGCUCAGGUGCGAAAGCGUGGGGAGCAAACAGGAUUAGAUACCCUGGUAGUCCACGCCGUAAACGAUGUCUACUUGGAGGUUGUGCCCUUGAGGCGUGGCUUCCGGAGCUAACGCGUUAAGUAGACCGCCUGGGGAGUACGGCCGCAAGGUUAAAACUCAAAUGAAUUGACGGGGGCCCGCACAAGCGGUGGAGCAUGUGGUUUAAUUCGAUGCAACGCGAAGAACC